RNAcentral lists this ribosomal RNA (466 nucleotides) under uncultured bacterium. RNAcentral describes it as "bacterial SSU rRNA". It matches the Rfam family "Bacterial small subunit ribosomal RNA", at positions 355 to 825 of the family's 1533-position model. The record is from RNAcentral.
UAGGGAAUAUUGGACAAUGGGUGAGAGCCUGAUCCAGCCAUGCCGCGUGCAGGAAGAAGGCGUUAUGCGUUGUAAACUGCUUUUGCCAGGGGAUAAAAAGACCGUGCGCGGUUAAUUGAAGGUACCUGGUGAAUAAGCCACGGCUAACUACGUGCCAGCAGCCGCGGUAAUACGUAGGUGGCAAGCGUUGUCCGGAUUUAUUGGGUUUAAAGGGUGCGUAGGUGGCCCUGUAAGUCAGUGGUGAAAUAUCUCAGCCUAACUGAGAGGGUGCCAUUGAUACUGCAGGGCUUGAGUACAGAUGAGGUAGGCGGAAUUGACGGUGUAGCGGUGAAAUGCAUAGAUAUCGUCAAGAACACCGAUAGCGAAGGCAGCUUACCAAGCUGUAACUGACACUGAGGCACGAAAGUGUGGGGAUCAAACAGGAUUAGAUACCCCUGUAGUCCCUGAGCGGGCUGGCAAGGCGCAU